Molecule: ribosomal RNA, 786 nt
Filed under: Triticum aestivum (bread wheat)
Lineage: Eukaryota; Viridiplantae; Streptophyta; Magnoliopsida; Poales; Poaceae
Description: partial small subunit ribosomal RNA
Source: RNAcentral
AUGUCUUGUGUCACAUCGGUGAGAUAUUCUGUCAAAUUUAAUGGGACCCUCUUAGAUUCAUUUGCACCGUCGCGUGGUCUUCGGCAAGGCAAUCCUCUAUCCCCCUUCUUGUUCCUUUUCGUGGCAGAUGGUCUGUCCGCUAUUCUGAAGCAUUAUGUGUCUUCUGGUGAUAUAUCUCCAAUCAAGGUGUGUAGAAGAGCACCGGGUAUCUCACAUCUUUUAUUUGCUGAUGACACCAUGCUUUUCUUUGAGGCAAGGAGAGCCCAGGCUGAGAAAGUUAAAUUGGCUUUGGAUCAAUACGGGGUAGCAACGGGACAAUCUCUUAAUUUUGAUAAGUGUUUCAUCCUCUUUGGUAUUGCAUGCCCCGAAGAUAUUCAGGAGGAAGUUAGGGGGGUGUUGCAUGUUACUAGCUUAGUGUUUGAGGAGAAGUACCUUGGCCUUCCAACUCCAGAGGGUCGCAUGUCGAAAGGGAGAUUCCAAAACCUUCAUAUGAGUUUAACCAAGCGUUUGGUCCAAUGGGGAGACGGUCACCUUGCCCAACCGGGGAGGGAGACUCUUAUUAAAUCUGUUGCGCUUGCUCUUCCUACAUAUAUGAUGGGUGUUUUCAAGAUUCCAUUCUCAGUGUAUGAUGAAUUAACACGGAUGGUACGUGCCUUUUAUUGGGGUGCUGAAAAAGGUAAGAGAAAAGUACACUGGCGUGCAUGGGAGGAUUUACAACAACCAAAGAGUAAAGGAGGUGCCGGGUUUAGAGAUUACAGAAUAUUUAAUCAAGCCUUAUUAGCAUGA